GAUGAACGCUGGCGGCGUGCUUAACACAUGCAAGUCGAACGGUGAAGGCGGAGCUUGCUCUGCUGGAUCAGUGGCGAACGGGUGAGUAACACGUGAGCAAUCUGCCCCUGACUCUGGGAUAAGCGCUGGAAACGGCGUCUAAUACUGGAUACGAGCUGCGAAGGCAUCUUCAGCAGCUGGAAAGAACUUCGGUCAGGGAUGAGCUCGCGGCCUAUCAGCUUGUUGGUGAGGUAACGGCUCACCAAGGCGUCGACGGGUAGCCGGCCUGAGAGGGUGACCGGCCACACUGGGACUGAGACACGGCCCAGACUCCUACGGGAGGCAGCAGUGGGGAAUAUUGCACAAUGGGCGAAAGCCUUAUGCAGCAACGCCGCGUGAGGGACGACGGCCUUCGGGUUGUAAACCUCUUUUAGCAGGGAAGAAGCGAAAGUGACGGUACCUGCAGAAAAAGCGCCGGCUAACUACGUG
This 468-nucleotide ribosomal RNA is filed under the name uncultured bacterium. Its description in RNAcentral is "partial 16S ribosomal RNA". It matches the Rfam family "Bacterial small subunit ribosomal RNA", at positions 28 to 507 of the family's 1533-position model. The record is from RNAcentral.